RNAcentral lists this unclassified non-coding RNA (194 nucleotides) under uncultured Capronia. RNAcentral's name for it is "sequence contains ITS1". Lineage: Eukaryota; Fungi; Ascomycota; Eurotiomycetes; Chaetothyriales; Herpotrichiellaceae. The record is from RNAcentral.
AAGAGUUAGGGUCUCUCAGGCCCGACCUCCCAACCCAUUGUUUACUGAACCACUGUUGCUUCGGCGGGCCCGUCUUCACGACCGCCGGAGGACCGUUAAACCGUCCUCUGGUCCGCGCCCGCCGGUGGCCCCAACUUAACAAAUUCUUGAAUGAAUCGUGUCAUUGUCUGAGUACUAUUUGAAAAAAUAAAUUA